Molecule: long non-coding RNA, 5568 nt
Filed under: Sus scrofa (pig)
Lineage: Eukaryota; Metazoa; Chordata; Mammalia; Artiodactyla; Suidae
Description: lncRNA (ENSSSCG00065044815.1)
Source: RNAcentral
UUUCACUGAGUCCCCAGUGCAGGAGAGCCCUGCGGGGUCAGCUGGCAGGCUGCGCCUCAGGAAUUCCUGGCUGGUCUGUCGCCAGUCGACCUGUGCGUGCACCUGCAAGAUGCUGGCAGGGCGGGUGGCGGCGGCGCGGGGAUGCAGUGCUGACGGCCGGUGGGGGUGAGCUAAGGCCUGCCCGAGUGGACGCGGACGCGGAUAGAGGACACUCCCCCCACCGACAAACUGUCUGUGACCUGACCAGGAAGUGGACCAAGGGGCAAUACCCACCCAGAUCCUGGAGGCAAGAAGCCAGCAGUUGGGAACAAAGAAUUUUCCAUGGCUCUGCAGUUAAGGAGGAACUGGACACUCUUUGGGGCCUCAAUUCGUCUUUCAUCCUCCUCGCCUUCCCUCAGAUUUCCAUCACUGGUAAUAUUUACGUUGGAAUUCUUCCCAGGACUUCAGGAACCCAGCAUGAGCAAGGGGAAAAGGAUACCAAAGAAAAGAGAUAGGUGUUAUUUUUUUAGAGGCGGUGUUGGCAAGUUUGUACUCUCAGUUAUAAAACAUAUUACAAAGCAGCAAGUAUCAAACCCAAAUGAUUCUGUGUUGAAAUCAGUUCAGCUGGGCUUCUGUCCAUUGUAAGACACUGCCUAAAUACAAAGAUAAGAAAGAUAUGGUCCCUUCCCUCAAGAGGGUCACAGCCUGGCUGGCACAUACCCAGGUAGCAGGUACCUAAGGGUAUGUGGUAGUUAAGAGUAUGCUCUCAGGAGACAGACCUGGGAUUAAACUGCUACUAGUUACCAGUCAUGUGAUCUUGGGCAAGUUACUAAAUGAGUCUCAGUUUCAUCCUUUGUAAAAUGAGAAUAAUACCAAGAUCCACCUCAGUGGACUGUCGUGAAUUUAACGAAGAGAAAACAGCAUUUUUAGCUGGCUACCCAACAAAGAUGCCCCUCUUUUAGCUCACAGAGCCUUGAUUUCACUCCAGGUAGCAAAGACUUCACCCUGGCACAGUGCAUGAAACAUGAGGGAUUUAAGCCCAUCAUGGGGAGACCCUUGCUCUUUGCCAGAUACUGGCUUUCUCAGUUCCCUGGCUGCUGAGGACAGCCAUGUGACCCGUGGCCAGUGAGGUGAAAGGGUCUUCCUAAAUAAAUUAUAGAGGAUGAUGCCUUUGCUUUCCUUGCUUCCUGUCCAUGAAGAGUUUUGAUGCCUGGAACUGCAGCAGCCAUUUUGUGGCCAUGAGGCAUCCAGCUUGAGGCUGAGAAAUUCACACUGAGGAUGGCCAUGGGGAAGGAGCUUGGAGUGGGGAGGCAUGGCUGAGCUGCAGAAUAGCCUGAGGUUGCCCACAUCUAUUCCUUGUUCUGAGAGAUGAUUUAAAAGCCUUUCAUCAAUACAAGUGGGAACUGGGUUAAGUAGCUGGUAAAUGGUUUGGGUCACUCCACUUGUCUAUGCACUCAGUGGGUAAGUGGGACAGAGUCAUGAAUCUUCUGGGCCCAAUCAUCUCUCAGGACCUCAGGGUGCUAAGAUGCCCCUGGGCAUGGGCUCCACUGGAGAAACCAAGACUGCCCCAAGCCUGCCAGGAAAGCUAGCAGGCUGGAACCACCAACAGGUGAUGGUAUCUGGCUCCCCAUCCCUUCUUGAAGGGUUUCAGGAAGAGUCAUUUCGCUCAUCUGCAGUUUUUGCUUUGUGCACCUGGGCUGUGCAUUUGAAUCAGAACUGCCAGAGGUGCCCAUUACCCAGCUGGUGCCCACUACCCAGCUGGUUGGAACAGCUGGAGGGAAGCCAGCAGAUGGAGGGGCUGACCCCCCACCAGAGGUUUCCCAGGGAGGACAAAGGGAGGAAAAGGGAGAAACAGGACUCAUUUAGAACCUAAUGAUUAAUUACAGCCUGAGUGCAUGAACCAAGCCUGUUCCCUACAAUAGGAUACCUGUGACCUCAUGCAGAUCCUGGUCCGGAGUCAUGGCAGCCUCUGGGCAUCUCCAGAGCUGGCUGCAUUUUGCCUCAAAUGUCAGCGAAAGGGUGUGAUAAAGGAUGGGACCCAACUAAGAUAAUCCCAUUUGGGGUCUUGGCCCCCAAGGCUUUCUGGUUAGCUUCCUGGGUUGUAAAUAUUCUGAAUUGUGGGGGGGGGGACAGUUUGCUGGUUUUUGUUCUUAUUUUUUAAACAAGAGGCAGUGUGUUGUGGAGGUGAAGAGCACAGGCCCUGGAGUUCCCAUUGUGGCGCUAGUGGAAACGAAUCUGACAAGGAACCCUGAGGUUGCGGGUUCCAUCCCAGGGCUCGCUCAGUGGGUUAACGAUCCGGCGUUGCUGUGAGCUGUGGUGUAGGUCACAGACGCGGCUUGCAUCUGGCAUGGCUGUGGCUGUGGUGUAGGCCGGCAGCUAUAGCUCUGAUUCGACCCCUAGCCUGGGAACCUCCAUGUGCUGUGGGAGUGGCCCCAAAAAGCAAAAAAAAGAAACAAACAAACGAAAAGAGCGCAGGCCCUGCUCUCCACAUCGCUGUCUGAGAAACGGGAGUACUCCACCUCCUUGGUGUCGCCAGCACUGAGCACGGGGCCUGCCCUACGGGACGGCUCCAGAGGUCUUCAGCCUUAGUGGUGUCGCUCUGCCAGGCAGAGCGAGGGGUUCAGAGCACAGGUAAGAAGGGGUUAAGGGACCCAGUGCCUGAUGACCUGCUCUUGAGGAGCUGUGGGGAAGGAGGCUGGGGCUCUGUCCCUCACCUUAAAAAUGACAAAAUAGUAGAACCCAGUAUCUGACCUGGAGAGGCGUCUGAGUCCUCUUCUUCCAUCUCCCUUUGUGCAGGUGGGACUGGAGAGGCCAGGGACGGUCCCGAGGAGAAGGAGCCAGCGCUUCCGCUGGGAAAGGAGUCCGAGUGUUGAAGGAACAGGGAAUGUUGUCAGCAAGAAGACAAAGGAGGGCCGAUGAAAACAAUACACAUUUGUGCGAUGACAUUUUCUGCCAUAAAUGUCAAGGGAACAGACACAGAACAGGAACCACAGAGUAGCCAUGGGACGGGAACCACGUGGGGUGGCGAUGGGGUGGCAGUAGCCACACACUCUUGCUCACCAUGGCAAUGCUGGGUCCUGGCACCAGCUUGACCCGUGUCCACAGUGGAGGGACAGCCCACCCCCCCAGGUGCGUGCGCAGCAGGCGGUUGCUGGGAAAGUAGAGGCUCUCCCUUGCAAGGAAAGAAAUGUUAAUUACACAGCCAGAGGCGACCCUUACAUGCCUAAUAAACUAAGGCAAAUUCAGUGAGAGUCAUAAAACCCGGUCCUGUCAGGGGGCAGAGGAAACAGGGGCCCUGGCAGGUGCUUGGAUGUGCUCAUUAAAACAUGGUCCUGUUUUUCUGGAGAGCAAGCUAGUCCCAUGCAGAUGGGCCCUACCCUCUGGUCUGGUCUUUCUAACUCGAGAAACUGAAAACUCUCACUGCCCCACUGCCUACCGCCACCCCCGUGCCUGCCGCCCAGGGGGAUGUUGGAACCGUUUCCCAGCCCCGCACUGAGCUGGGAUGUAUGCCCUCUUUUGUCCUCCUGAGCUGAGUGCACUCCGGAGCUUUCCCUCUGCCCCAGGGCCCAGCCCAGAUCCCAGUAGGUUCACAUUAUGAUGCCCUGAUGCCCCAGGGUUGCACAGUUAGGGGCAGACCUGACUCAAUUCUGAAGACCAUAGACUCUGCCAGCCAGCAGAGCCCCUGGGCACAGCCCGAGGAACCACAUGCCCAGUCAACUCGGACACCGGGCCCCUGCCGAUGGGGGAUCCCUGGGAGCCUGUGAAACCUCCAGGUGCUUCUGCUGCCUCUUCAGUAAACUAGGUCAUCACCGAACAUCUCCACCUGGGGACUUCCUGUGCUGCCCCUUCCACUUGGGAGAGAAGGGCUCCGGCUCUGGCUCUGGCUCUGGCUCUGGAAGGGAGCCCCCUGCAGGCUGCAGGGUUGGAGGGUGGCUUCUCUAGAACUUGGCUGGGGUUGGACAGGCAGGUGAGUGGUUGGGGAAGCUUCUGCCAGUUGCUGGAGAAUGUACCUGGCCUUCCCAGGGACAAAUUCUAGCUGUGGCCCUAAGCAGGGGCGGGGGUGCGCUUACUCCAAGGUGAUAGCGUGCCGGCUGCCAAUGACCAUGAACCCUCCAUUAGGGCCCUACUUCAGCUGCCUCUAUAAGAGUGCACCCUGCCCCCUGGGAAAAGGUUAAACAAAGUCUCCCCCAACCCCUCUUCUGGGGUCCUAGAAGGACCAGUUGAGAGAAGAUGCAGAGGAAGGAGAACGCUGGAAGGGAGAGUGGAAGCUGGGGUUCCCUCGAACACAGCUGUGGGGCCCAGGACUCGGGUCUCAGCCAGCUUCCCAUUUGCUGGGUGACCUUGGGCAAGUCUUGCUUGUCUUUGGCCUGCCUGCUUUUUUGAAGCAUCCCCUUCUCCAAGGGAACAAGGAGCACUUGCUAUAGAAAGGUCAGGCCUCCGCUCAACCCAGGGGCAGCCACACAGACCCGAGAUCAGACAGCAGCCCUGGGCUGCCCUCGGGGCCCCUCACCUUCACCCCCCACCCGCUCCAGCCUGCCCUUCCCCCCAGGCCUAGGGAGUGGAUGCCCCCCGGACCACACGUGCCAUGCAAAUUCUGGCAGAUCCCAGCCCCUCUCUGGACCUCAGUUUCUACUCUCGCACGGUGGCUGAGGGGUAGGGAUGGACAGGUGGGAUCAGGUGGUCCCAGAGGCUCUCCCCCUCCAGCCCCAGGCCUGUGGUCUUCUUACAGUUUCAGGCCGCAAUCUUGCCUCCACAGAGAGCAGCCGGCGGAGGUGUGGGGCUCCAUCCGACUUGCCUCUUUACGAUGCCUGAGUGGACAGAGCCCUGCCCAGCUGCUGGGCCUGGGCAGUCCCUGCCCUCUGGCCUCAGUCGCGUUGCUGGCACAGCAAGGGCCAGACAGGAUGGUCUCGGCAGCCCUUUGAGUCUCCCUCACGCCAGGGCCUCUUACGCCGCGGGAUCAGGUUGCACACCUCCACCCCUCCGCAGCCCUCGCCCUCCGGCGUCUCUCCUGGUUGGCGUCUUCCCCCUGAGCCCCCGAGCCCCUCUGAGUGUUCUUAGUCUAAGUGAGGAGUGAGUGAAGUAGGCCAGCAGGGAUCUUCCGGAGAAAAGGGGCGGUGACCUGGAAGGUCGCCAGUGUCCCACAGAGUCUGAACUGGAUGUGCUGGACAAGUGCAGUCUCUCAGUCGCAGGGGACACAAGCCUGAUUUAAACGGGCUGAGGCACAAAUGGGAAAUGAUUGACUCAUUUCUCUGAAAAGUCCAGGGAGUGAUACGGCUUCAGAAACAGCUGAAUCAAGGCCUCUCGAAUUAUGAGUUUAAGGCCAUGUCUCUUGGAGUUCCCAUUGUGGCUCAGUGGCAAAAAACCCAACUAGGAUCCAUAAUGAUGCAGGUUCGAUCCCUAGCCUCACUCAGUGGAUUAAGGAUCUGGCGUAGCCGUGAGCUGUGGUGCAGGUCGCAGUCGAGGCUUGGAUCCCGUGUGGCUGUGGCUGUGCCUGUGGUGUAGGCUGGCAGCUGCAGCUCUGAUUCAACCCCUAGCCUGGGAACUUCCUGAUGCCAUGGGUGCAGCCCUAAAAAGCCAAAAAAAAAAAAA